UAAACAGGAUCUAAUGGGAGUCUAGGAAGACUGAUUAGUAUUCCUUAUCUUCACAUUUUACAUUGGAACAUUGCUUUUAAUUUUAAUUUUUUAUGCCAGAAAGUCCUGCCUAAACUUUUCAGAGUUCGCCUUAUAAUAAAAAUAUAUCACCACUAAGACCUUAAAGCAAAUUAAGGAAAUUAAAAAAUAUGUUAUUUUUAAUAUUUCGCUUCAUAUUCUGUAAGCUAAUUAGGCAAAAUUUAGAUCAUUUUUUUAAAAAAAGAGCAUUCUUCAUAGUAACCAGAAAUGUCUCUCAUGUUCUAAAUCUGCGUCGAAAAAGAAUCUGCGUAGUUGUACAUAGCAAAGGUAAUCGAACGGAGACAUUAACCUUUACAAAAAUAACGUAGGUAUAUAUCAUUUUACAUGUU
Molecule: long non-coding RNA, 407 nt
Organism: Saccostrea cuccullata (small rock oyster)
Lineage: Eukaryota; Metazoa; Mollusca; Bivalvia; Ostreida; Ostreidae
Exons: 2
Source: RefSeq, a predicted model, not a curated record